This 224-nucleotide long non-coding RNA is filed under the name Mytilus galloprovincialis (Mediterranean mussel). Lineage: Eukaryota; Metazoa; Mollusca; Bivalvia; Mytilida; Mytilidae. The record is from RNAcentral.
GUUUGCUGUAAAAUCUGGUUUUAGUACUUCAACCAUAUAUGGAGAAACUUGAAUCAUCACACAUUCGCAAUAAGCAAUUGUCAAUUGACACCUUAUGGAGUUAUUGCUCAUUAUAGUAAAUUUUCAACAUUUUUUAAAAAUUUUUGUAAUCUUUUUCACAAAUAAAUGUAAACCUAGCCACAAUUUCCAAUAGGCUAUCUUGAUUGAAAACUGUAUCCGACGAC